RNAcentral lists this ribosomal RNA (253 nucleotides) under uncultured bacterium. RNAcentral's name for it is "partial 16S ribosomal RNA". It matches the Rfam family "Bacterial small subunit ribosomal RNA", at positions 524 to 776 of the family's 1533-position model. The record is from RNAcentral.
UACGUAGGGCGCAAGCGUUGUCCGGAAUUAUUGGGCGUAAAGGGCUCGUAGGCGGCUUGUCGCGUCGAUUGUGAAAGCCCGGGGCUUAACUCCGGGUCUGCAGUCGAUACGGGCAGGCUAGAGUGUGGUAGGGGAGAUCGGAAUUCCUGGUGUAGCGGUGAAAUGCGCAGAUAUCAGGAGGAACACCGGUGGCGAAGGCGGAUCUCUGGGCCAUUACUGACGCUGAGGAGCGAAAGCGUGGGGAGCGAACAGG